ACGCUCGACACCUACGGGAGCAGCAGUAGGGAAUCUUCCACAAUGGACGCAAGUCUGAUGGAGCAACGCCGCGUGAGUGAAGAAGGUUUUCGGAUCGUAAAGCUCUGUUGUUGGUGAAGAAGGAUAGAGGUAGUAACUGGCCUUUAUUUGACGGUAAUCAACCAGAAAGUCACGGCUAACUACGUGCCGNNCGCGAUNUGAGCGGCGUGCGAG
RNAcentral lists this ribosomal RNA (213 nucleotides) under uncultured bacterium. Its description in RNAcentral is "partial 16S ribosomal RNA". It matches the Rfam family "Bacterial small subunit ribosomal RNA", at positions 328 to 540 of the family's 1533-position model. The record is from RNAcentral.